UGAAGCGGAAAAGCUCAAAUUUAAAAUCUGGCGGUCUUUGGCCGUCCGAGUUGUAGUCUGGAGAAGUGCUUUGCGCGCUGGACCGUGUACAAGUCUCUUGGAACAGAGCGUCAUAGAGGGUGAGAAUCCCGUCUUUGACACGGACUACCAGUGCUUUGUGAUGCGCUCUCAAAGAGUCGAGUUGUUUGGGAAUGCAGCUCAAAAUGGGUGGUGAAUUCCAUCUAAAGCUAAAUAUUGGCGAGAGACCGAUAGCGAACAAGUACCGUGAGGGAAAGAUGAAAAGCACUUUGGAAAGAGAGUUAAACAGUACGUGAAAUUGCUGAAAGGGAAACGCUUGAAGUCAGUCGCGUUGUCCAGAACUCAGCCUUGCUUCGGCUUGGUGCAUUUUCUGGGCGACGGGCCAGCAUCGAUUUUGACCGUCGGAAAAGGGUUGAAGGAAUGUGGCACCUUCGGGUGUGUUAUAGCCUUCAGCCGCAUACGACGGUUGGGAUCGAGGAACGCAGCGCGCCUUAUGGCUGGGGUUCGCCCACAUUCGCGCUUAGGAUGCUGGCAUAAUGGCUUUAAACGACCCGUCUUGAAACACGGACCAAGGAGUCUAACAUGCCUGCGAGUGUUUGGGUGGAAAACCCGAGCGCGUAAUGAAAGUGAAAGUUGAGACCUCUGUCGUGGAGGGCAUCGACGCCCGGACCUGACGUUCUCUGACGGAUCCGCGGUAGAGCAUGUAUGUUGGGACCCGAAAGAUGGUGAACUACCGCCUGAAUAGGGUGAAGCCAGAGGAAACUCUGGUGGAGGCUCGAGCGAUUCUGACGUCAAAUCGACGCAA
Molecule: ribosomal RNA, 823 nt
Filed under: Lenzites betulinus
Lineage: Eukaryota; Fungi; Basidiomycota; Agaricomycetes; Polyporales; Polyporaceae
Description: eukaryotic LSU rRNA
Rfam family: Eukaryotic large subunit ribosomal RNA
Source: RNAcentral